GAUGAACGCUGGCGGCGUGCCUAAUACAUGCAAGUCGAGCGAACGGACGAGAAGCUUGCUUCUCUGAUGUUAGCGGCGGACGGGUGAGUAACACGUGGAUAACCUACCUAUAAGACUGGGAUAACUUCGGGAAACCGGAGCUAAUACCGGAUAAUAUUUUGAACCGCAUGGUUCAAAAGUGAAAGACGGUCUUGCUGUCACUUAUAGAUGGAUCCGCGCUGCAUUAGCUAGUUGGUAAGGUAACGGCUUACCAAGGCAACGAUGCAUAGCCGACCUGAGAGGGUGAUCGGCCACACUGGAACUGAGACACGGUUCAGACUCCUACGGGAGGCAGCAGUAGGGAAUCUUCCGCAAUGGGCGAAAGCCUGACGGAGCAACGCCGCGUGAUUGAUGAAGGUCUUCGGAUCGUAAAACUCUGUUAUUAGGGAAGAACAUAUGUGUAAGUAACUGUGCACAUCUUGACGGUACCUAAUCAGAAAGCCACGGCUAACUACGUG
RNAcentral lists this ribosomal RNA (497 nucleotides) under uncultured bacterium. Its description in RNAcentral is "partial 16S ribosomal RNA". It matches the Rfam family "Bacterial small subunit ribosomal RNA", at positions 28 to 507 of the family's 1533-position model. The record is from RNAcentral.